RNAcentral lists this ribosomal RNA (229 nucleotides) under uncultured bacterium. RNAcentral's name for it is "partial 16S ribosomal RNA". It matches the Rfam family "Bacterial small subunit ribosomal RNA", at positions 568 to 796 of the family's 1533-position model. The record is from RNAcentral.
UACGUAGGUGGUUUAUUAAGUCAGAUGUGAAAGCCCCGGGCUUAACCUGGGAACUGCAUUUGAUACUGGCAAACUAGAGUAUGGUAGAGGGGGGUAGAAUUCCUAGUGUAGCGGUGAAAUGCGUAGAUAUUAGGAGGAAUACCAGUGGCGAAGGCGGCCCCCUGGACCAAUACUGACACUGAGGUACGAAAGCGUGGGUAGCGAACAGGAUUAGAUACCCUGGUAGUCC